This 497-nucleotide ribosomal RNA is filed under the name uncultured bacterium. RNAcentral's name for it is "partial 16S ribosomal RNA". It matches the Rfam family "Bacterial small subunit ribosomal RNA", at positions 28 to 507 of the family's 1533-position model. The record is from RNAcentral.
GAUGAACGCUGGCGGCGUGCCUAAUACAUGCAAGUCGAGCGAACAGACGAGGAGCUUGCUCCUCUGACGUUAGCGGCGGACGGGUGAGUAACACGUGGAUAACCUACCUAUAAGACUGGGAUAACUUCGGGAAACCGGAGCUAAUACCGGAUAAUAUAUUGAACCGCAUGGUUCAAUAGUGAAAGACGGUUUUGCUGUCACUUAUAGAUGGAUCCGCGCCGCAUUAGCUAGUUGGUAAGGUAACGGCUUACCAAGGCGACGAUGCGUAGCCGACCUGAGAGGGUGAUCCGCCACACUGGAACUGAGACACGGUCCCGACUCCUACGGGAGGCAGCAGUAGGGAAUCUUCCGCAAUGGGCGAAAGCCUGACGGAGCAACGCCGCGUGAGUGAUGAAGGUCUUCGGAUCGUAAAACUCUGUUAUUAGGGAAGAACAAAUGUGUAAGUAACUAUGCACGUCUUGACGGUACCUAAUCAGAAAGCCACGGCUAACUACGUG